RNAcentral lists this ribosomal RNA (406 nucleotides) under uncultured bacterium. RNAcentral describes it as "partial 16S ribosomal RNA". It matches the Rfam family "Bacterial small subunit ribosomal RNA", at positions 30 to 526 of the family's 1533-position model. The record is from RNAcentral.
AUUGAACGCUGGCGGCAGGCCUAACACAUGCAAGUCGAACGAGUGGCGGACGGGUGAGUAAUGUCUGGGAAACUGCCCGAUGGAGGGGGAUCACUACUGGAAACGGUAGCUAAUACCGCAUACCAUCGGAUGUGCCCAGAUGGGAUUAGCGAGUAGGUGGGGUAACGGCUCACCUAGGCGACGAUCCCUAGCUGGUCUGAGAGGAGGACCAGCCACACUGGAUCUGAGACACGGUCCAGACUCCUACGGGAGGCAGCCGUGGGGAAUAUUGCACCAUGGGCGCAAGCCUGAGGCAGCCAUGCCGCGUGUAUGAAGAAGGCCUUCGGGUUGUAAAGUACUUUCAGCGGGGAGGCGUUACCCGCAGAAGAAGCACCGGCUAACUCCGUGCCAGCAGCCGCGGUAAUUC